ACAGCAAAAUCUAGGUGCCUUUUCAGUACUUUUUGUACCAACUACUAAAUAAAAUCCAAUUCAACUUCUACUCAACCAUAUUGGUGAUAAUUUUCUAUUUUGUGUCUGGAAUUGUUGUGUUUCGGAAUAACACGGCCAAAAAAAGAGUUAUUUUUUUUUUUAUUAUUAUCUGUGUUUACUUUUACUUGUCACGUUUGAACUGAGUUUACUUUUACUUAUCACAUUUAAACUGUAUUUAUUUUUACUUGUCAUAUUUAAACUGUGUUUACUUUUAUUUGUCACAUUUGAACCGAGUUUACUUUUAUUUAUCACAUUUAAACUGUGUUUACUUUUACUUGUCACAUUUAAACUGUGUUUACUUUUACUUAUCACGUUUAAACUAGACACAUCCGUUAAGAAAAUAAUGAUUUGAACUAGAUGUUUUAGUAUUAGUUCUUGAAAAAUAAUUUUGGAGCAAUUAAUUAAUGCUAAGGUAAAAUAUGAAAAAAUUAAUACAAGGAAAAGUGAGUGGAGGGUGUUCAUUUCCUUGAAAAAUUAGCAUUAGAAAAUGUAAAAGAUUUGAGUCUUUAGGGAGUCAAGAAGUAAGUUUGAGUUAUCUUUGUGAAAAUUCCAAAUUUGGGUUUUCAAGAAAAGGACAAUCUUGGGAUGGAUUUGUGGAAUUGAGACCUGUUGAUUAAGUGAAUAGUCUUAGGGGGAAAGGUAAAAUGGUUGGUGGAAGAGUUACCUUGUACUUGUUGUUUGCUGGGAGGUGACAGUCCCGUUGAAUUAGUCGAAGUUGGUUGGUGGAUAGAGUUACUUGACAUCUAUUGUUUGCUGGGAGGUGACAGGUAUCCUGUGGAAUUAGUCGAAGUUGUUUGGUGGAUAGAGUUACCUAGUACCUGUUGUUAGUGGAAAGUGACAGGUUGGUUGGUGGAUAUAGUUACCUGGCAUCUAUGGUUUGCCGGGAGGUGGCAGGUAUCCCGUGGAAUUAGUUGAAGUUGGUUGGUGGAUAGAGUUACUUGGUACCUGUUGGUGGGAGGCAACAGGUGUCCCGUGGAAUUAGUUGGAGUUGGUUGGUAAAUAGAGUUACCUGGUAUCUAUUGUUUGCUGGGAGGUGGCAGGUAUCUCGUCGAAUUAGUCGAAGUUGGUUGGUGGAUAGAGUUACUUGGUAUCUAUUGUUUGCCAGGGUGGCAGGUAUUCCGUGGUUACCUGUUAUCUAUUGUUUGCCGGGAGGUGUCAGGUAUCCCGUGGUUACCUGGUAUCUAUUGCUUGCCAGGAAGUGGCAGCUAUUCCGUGGAAUUAGUUGAAGUUGGUUUAGAGUUACCUGGUAUCUAUUGUCUGCUGGGAGGUGUUAGAUAUCCCGUAGAAUUAGUCGAAAUUGGUUGGUGGAUAGAGUUACUUGGUACCUGUUGUUUUCUGGGAGGUGUUAGGUAUCCCGUAGAAUUAGUCGAAAUUGGUUGGUGGAUAGAGUUACUUGGUACCUGUUGUUUUCUGGGAGGUGACAGGUAUCCCGUGGAAUUAGUCGAAGUUGGUUGGUGGAUAGAUGCAUCUAUUGUUUGCUGGGAGGUGACAGGUAUCCUGCCUGUGGAAUUAGUCGAAGUUGGUUGGUGGAUAGAGUUACCUGACAUCUAUUGUUUGCUAGGAGGUGGCAAGUAUCCGGUGGAAUUAGUCGAAGUUGCUUGGUGGAUAGAGUUACUUGGUACCUGUUGCUAGUGGGAGGCGACAGAUGUCCCGUGGAAUUAGUCGAAGUUGGUUGGUGGAUGGUGGGAGGUGGCAGGUAUCCUGCGGAAUUAGUCGAGGUGCGUGCAAGCUGGCCCGAACACCUCCCACCAGAGAAAGAACUAAUAUAUCUGUUCAUAGCAGGUUUAGGCCAGUUGGUGACGGGGGUGUUGUUGCAUUGUCAAACCAUGUUGGUGGAACUAAUAGUCUUGGCAGCCGAGUAGUCAUGAAACAUGUAGUGAUAGUAUACGCAGAACUACAAGCUCGGUUAACAGUUCAGUUUUACCAUCUGAGUUAUCCACGAGACCUAGAAUUGUUGUGUGGCUAAUGCACGAGGAGAAUGCAUACGGAGAUUGCAGGCUUGUUGAACAGAAUUGAAGCAGCCAAACAGCUCCUGGUAUUACAUAAUCUGUUCUUUGACUAUUUCUCAGGUAAGUGCAAUGGAUAAUUUUGUCGACACGAGAAUGGUUGGUGAACUAUUAUAAGUCUUUGGGAUACUUCAAGUUUCCUUUGUUAAUACAAUGUUUGGUUUCAUUUAUUUUUUCCCAUAUAAAAGAUUAAUCUACCUGUAUGCCACGGUGUUCUGUCUUGCAUCUGCAUCCGUCAAUGUAUAUGGAACGUUACUGCAUUUUGGCCUCAAUCAUGGACCUAUUUAUGUCCUCCGGCGUAAUAAUUCCUUGUUGCUGUUAUAUGGCUGAAUCCGUUCAUGGUUUGCCUACGGUUUUUAGGAACCUCUAGUCUACGAAUAAGUUUAUUAAAUUGUUCAUGGCGUUUGUACUUGAAAAAUGAUGUAUAUCGUAGUUGCGCUUUGCAUACAUGUACUAUUUUUCUGCUUAUAAUCCCUGAAUGUUUUUCAUUUUCAAGAAUUGACUUUCUUGCAGCUUCCGCUUCAUAUUUCAUUGACACAAAGCAUAAAGACUUUUUUACUAAUAAUAUAGAUUAUCCUUAAUUAACAGGCAACAAUGGCUUGUCGAACUUUCCUUCUUCUGAUUUUCCUGCAUCUACCUCCCGUAUUGGAGGUGAAUGUUCUACGAAUCCAUCAAAUAAAGAUUUGGUUGAUAGCUUGAGAAGCUUUGAAACAUCGUGCGGAUGAUACACGAGGAGAGGCUGAGAGUUUGAGACGGCUCUCUUGGCUGAAGAGCAGAUAACUAGAGGAAGAGUAUUCUGAAAAAAACGUCCAAACUGAGGCUGCCGAAAAUCGAGGAAAGGAGGAAGAAAAAGGCGGAAGAGCUCAAGGCUUUGGAGAAUUCACUUUCCGAUUGCAACGAGGUGAAAACUAGAAUGCAUAUGGAAUUUUCAGCCAUGUUAAGCAGAAUGGAUGCAGCCAAAAAGCCACCGGCUGCGAUGGCUUGUCGGAGUUUUCUUCUUCUACUUUUCCUGCAACAGCCUUCAACGAUCGAGCUAGUAGUCUUCGGAAACAUGCAGUUACUGAUCUUCCUUCAUCUACCUCCUUUCUUAGCAAAUCUUCUUUUAAGAUCUUCACUCCGUUGGAAGAUUUUUGGAACAAAAUCAAGCUCUUUCAUCAAUGUUUCCUCAUCCCAUUCCUUCGCACAAGACAUGAAUACGUCCUUAACGAAGCCAAACAUUUGCAAGGCAUGACCACAUCCAAGACAGUUAAAUUGCAGCUCAUUUGUCCCGGAAGAGCUUGGACCUGGCUUUAUAAGAUUUCGACGAAUAGCACAAACAGCAUGGCCCCAAUGCAAGCAUGCAUCACAGCCUACCCAACUGCAAGUAUUAUUGGCACAGUCAAAGUUCAAACACGCAGAACACAUGCAUUCGCUGCAGAAUCCCUUCUUCGUUGAACAAAUCUUGCGGUCGCAAUCCUCAACAGGCAAAGUCUCCGGCAAUCUAUGUUUCGACACCUUUCAAGUAAGAAAACUUCCACCAAUUCCGUUGUUGGAAGGCUGGUUUUUUCGGAUAAGAAGCCUCCAAGACCUGUUUUUAUUGCAACCAAAAACUCCAGUUGGAUCUGAUGACACUUCAAGAGAGUCUCGUUGGUAAGAUCAGAUCGGCUAUCAAGUGUGGUCUGAAGGCUAACGAACUCAUCUUUAUUUUCCGGCAUUGUAAUCAAGUUCAUCAAGUGUUCUUUGGUUGAUGCAACUGUUUCUUCACCGAGAUGUUGCACAAUCAGAGCCAUAAGAGGAAUAAGCUCUGACACUAUUUCGCUAAGUAUUUUCCCUUGCCUAAAUAAAAUGCGCAGAGAGGUUAAAAAUCUCACAGAUUGGAAGGAAGUAGUUCAGAAAUUUGUCCUCGAUUUCAAUAAUGAUCUUCCUGCGUCUACCUCCCGUAUUCCCAAAUCUUCCUUCUAUGAUGUUAGCUUGUCAAGCGGAUGAAAAUAUAUGAGGCCUGCUGAUCAUUGUCCAAAUGAUGUAAAGCUUCUUUUCCGCCUGCCAAAAUGAUUGUAGAUGAAUGGUCCCUGAAACUAUCGAAGAAAGAUGAGGUCGAUAGGUCGAGAAGCAUUGUACGGAUCAAAGAAGCAGUCACGGUUGUUUCAGCGUUGUGAAGAUGAUGCACAAGUAUAGGCAGGGAAUUUGAGGUGGUUGGCUUGGUUGCGGAGUGUGAAAAUGGAUGAAGAGUAUUCUGAAAAACUCUCCGAACUGUGCUUGCAGAAAACCGAAGAACGGAGGAUAAAAAUAGUUGGAAUAGCUCAUGAAUUUGGAGGUGUCACAUUGCGAUUACUACGAGAUGAAAAUGAGAACGGAUAUGGAGAUUGCAGGCUUGUUAAGCAGAAUGGAAGCAGCCAAACAGCUACUGGUUUGAACUAAAGCUACUAGGUUCGGUCAAGCUCGUAGUUCAUCUUCUCAGCUUCCAGCUCCGCCCGUGGCUUCAGGCACAAGCCAGUUGGGGAAGUGAUGACUCGUCAGACUUUUCGUCUAAUUUUCCUGCAAACGGACUUUUGUAAUCACGUUUCUGGGCUUCAGUUGCUGCUGAGUUAUAUGUUUCUUUCCUGAAAAGUACUUUAUUGGCACAUUUGGUUCGCACAUUGACCUAAUAUUUUCAAAAUUAUAAAAACAAAAUCAUGCCACUUCAUGAACUCUCGUUUAGACUAAAGCUCCGGCUUCUAAUUUGAGACGUGCUGGUGACUUCUUUACCAAUAUUGUGAUAGAAGGGUUAUUAUCGUAGUUGACUUUCUUGCGUGUGGCAUGGAUGGAGUUGAAAUGGAUCCCGAAAGGUAGAGAAUGUGCCAUUCGGCUAUAAUGUUGAUCGAUUUGGCUUAUUAAUUGCUUUGCUUUCGAACCUGAAAAUUUCUUCCUACUAUAUACAAGCCGGAAUUUCUAGCAAAGCUUCCAGAAAUGUGGCGUGGACUUGUUAAUAUAUACCUCCUUGCUGUUAGAGGGCCCGUUGCUGCAUGUCCUGGUAUUAUAGAGGCAUUGUGCAAUAUAGCUCGCUCAUCGCGUGGAAACAGCCUCCGGCAGAAGUGCAAGGUAAGACUGCAUACAAUACACUCUUGUGGUGGGGCCCUUCCCCUAACCCUGCGCAUAGCGGGAGCUUUAGUGCACCGGUCUGCCUUUUUAGCUCGCUCAUCGCAUGACUGACGAUAUAUGGCAAUUGGCUGUCUUUGGGGUUGCUCCAGGAUCCAAGUACCUGUCGUAAGGUCCGGUCUGUGAAACCAUCGAAGAAAGAUGACAUCGAUAGCUCGGGAAGCAAUGUACCGAUCAAAGAAACAGACGGGAGGUAUGUUUCAGAGUCGUGCAGAUGAUGCACGAGGAGAAGCAGGGAGUUUGAGACGGUUAGCUACACUAAACUUGAGGAUGAGUAUUCUGAAAAACUCUCCAAACUGUUGGUUGCGGGAAACUGACGAAAGGAGGAGAAAGAAGUCGGAAGCGCUCACAACUUUGGAGAACGCGCAUCGCGAUUACUACGAGAUGAAAAUGAGAAUGCAUAUGGAGAUUCCAGGCUUGUUAAAUAGAAUGGAAGCAGCCAAACAGCUACUGGUAUAACCUUGUUGCAAGUUUUUCUUCAUAGUAAAUGGUUGGUGGACUAUUAGAAAAUGGAGUGCUUCGGAGUAACUGGUAAAGUUGUUGCUAUGUGACGGGGAGGUGACAGGUUCAAGACGCGGAAACAGUCUCUUGCAGAAUUGGAAGGUAACGUUGCGUACGAUAGAUCCUUGUGGUCCAGCCUUUCCCGGAAUCGGAUAACGGGAGUUUUAGUGCAUACUGAUAAAGUUGUUGCCAUGUGAUUAGGAGGUCACGGGUUCAAAAUAUGAAAACUGCAUAAAUGGAAGGUAACGUUGCGUACCAUAGAUCCUUGUUGUCCGACCCUUCCCGAAAUUGCAUAGCGGGAGUUUUAGGUCAUGGAUUCCAGACGUGUCACGGGUUCAAAAUGUGAAAACUGCAUAAAUGGAAGGUAACGUUGCGUACCAUAGAUCCUUGUCGUCCGACCCUUCCCGGAAUUAAUUGCAUUUUCGACCCUUUCUGGAUGCGCAUAGCGAGAGUUUUAGUGCAUAUUGAUAAAGUUGUCAUGUGACCAGGGAGGUCACAAGUUCAAGACGUGGAAACUGUCUCUUGCAGAAAUAGAAGGUAACAUUGCAACCAUAGAUCCAUGUGGUCUGACCCUUCCCGAACUCGCAUAGAUAAAGUUGUUUUCAUGUGAUCAGGAAGUCACGGGUUCAAGACGUGAAAACUGCAUAAAUGGAAGGUAACGUUGCGUACCAUAGUUACUUGUCAUCCGACCUUUCUCGGAAUUGUAUUGCGAAGUUUUAGGUCAUGGAUUCCUGACGUGGAAACAGUCUCUUGAAGAAAUAGAAGGUGGUGUUGCAUACGAUAGAUCUUUGUGGUCCGACCCUUUCUGGAUGCGCAUAGUGGGAGUUUUAGUGCAUAUUGAUAAAGUUGUUGUUAUGUGACCAGGGAGGUCACAGGUUCAAGACGUGGAAUCUGUCUCUUACAGAAAUAGAAAGUAACAUUGCAACCAUAGAUCCUUGUGGUUCGGCCCUUCUCGAACUCGCAUAGCGGGAGUUUUAGUGCAUAUUGAUAAAGUUGUUGUGAUGUGACCACGAGGUCACGGGUUCAAGACGCAAAAACAGUCUCUUGCAGAAAUGAAAGGUAACAUUGCGUACCAAUAAAUCCUUGUGGUCCGUCCCUUCCCAGACGCACAGCGGGAGUUUUAGUGCAUCGAGCUUCUAUUUGGUUGGUGUUCUAUUAUAAGUCUUUGGAAUUACCUUCAAGUUACAAUGUUUUCAUUAAUUUUUUUUCAUAUAAAACUUAAAAACAUUAUUCGAUACAAUGGGAAAUUUCAAUUUUCCUUUUCCA
Molecule: long non-coding RNA, 6947 nt
Organism: Capsicum annuum
Lineage: Eukaryota; Viridiplantae; Streptophyta; Magnoliopsida; Solanales; Solanaceae
Exons: 7
Source: RefSeq, a predicted model, not a curated record